GUGGGGAAUAUUGGACAAUGGGCGCAAGCCUGAUCCAGCCAUGCCGCGUGAGUGAUGAAGGCCUUAGGGUUGUAAAGCUCUUUUGUCCGGGAAGAUAAUGACUGUACCGGAAGAAUAAGCCCCGGCUAACUUCGUGCCAGCAGCCGCGGUAAUACGAAGGGGGCUAGCGUUGUUCGGAAUCACUGGGCGUAAAGCGCACGUAGGCGGACCAUUAAGUCAGGGGUGAACGCCUGGAGCUCAACUCCAGAACUGCCUUUGAUACUGAUGGUCUCGAGUAUGGAAGAGGUUGGUGGAACUGCGAGUGUAGAGGUGAAAUUCGUAGAUAUUCGCAAGAACACCGGUGGCGAAGGCGGCCAACUGGUCCAUUACUGACGCUGAGGUGCGAAAGCGUGGGGAGCAAACAGGAUUAGAAACCCGAGUAGUCC
This 425-nucleotide ribosomal RNA is filed under the name uncultured bacterium. RNAcentral's name for it is "partial 16S ribosomal RNA". It matches the Rfam family "Bacterial small subunit ribosomal RNA", at positions 354 to 796 of the family's 1533-position model. The record is from RNAcentral.